AGCAGCCGCGGUAAUUCCAGCUCCAAUAGCGUAUAUUAAAGUUGUUGCAGUUAAAAAGCUCGUAGUUGAAUUUCGGGGUUAGUAGGUUGGUCAUGCCUCUGGUAUGUACUGGUCUCACUGAUUCCUCCUUCCUGACGAACCUUAAUGCCAUUAAUUUGGUGUUUUGGGGAAUUUGGACUGUUACUUUGAAAAAUUAGAGUGUUUAAAGCAAGCUAACGCUUGAAUACAUUAGCAUGGAAUAAUGAAAUAGGACGUUCGAUCCUAUUUUGUUGGUUUCUAGGAUUGACGUAAUGAUUAAUAGGGAUAGUUGGGGGCAUUAGUAUUCAACUGUCAGAGGUGAAAUUCUUGGAUUUAUUGAAGACUAACUACUGCGAAAGCAUUUGCCAAGGAUGUUUUCAUUAAUCAAGAACGAAAGUUAGGGGAUCGAAGACGAUCAGAUACCGUCGUAGU
This 450-nucleotide ribosomal RNA is filed under the name uncultured Glomus. Its description in RNAcentral is "SSU rRNA". It matches the Rfam family "Eukaryotic small subunit ribosomal RNA", at positions 569 to 1024 of the family's 1831-position model. The record is from RNAcentral. Lineage: Eukaryota; Fungi; Glomeromycota; Glomeromycetes; Glomerales; Glomeraceae.